GAUGAACGCUGGCGGCGUGCCUAAUACAUGCCAGUCGAGCGAACAGACGAGAGUGCUUGCACUCUCUGACGUUAGCGGCGGACGGGUGAGUAACACGUGGGUAACCUACCUAUAAGACUGGGAUAACUUCGGGAAACCGGAGCUAAUACCGGAUAAUAUUUAGCUUCGCAUGAAGCAAUAGUGAAAGACGGUUCUGCUGUCACUUAUAGAUGGACCCGCGGUGUAUUAGCUAGUUGGUGAGGUAACGGCUCACCAAGGCAACGAUACAUAGCCGACCUGAGAGGGUGAUCGGCCACACUGGGACUGAGACACGGCCCAGACUCCUACGGGAGGCAGCAGUAGGGAAUCUUCCGCAAUGGACGAAAGUCUGACGGAGCAAUGCCGCGUGAGUGAAGAAGGUUUUCGGAUCGUAAAACUCUGUUGUAAGGGAAGAACAAGUACGUUAGUAACUGAACGUACCUUGACGGUACCUUACCAGAAAGCCACGGCUAACUACG
RNAcentral lists this ribosomal RNA (497 nucleotides) under uncultured bacterium. RNAcentral's name for it is "partial 16S ribosomal RNA". It matches the Rfam family "Bacterial small subunit ribosomal RNA", at positions 28 to 505 of the family's 1533-position model. The record is from RNAcentral.